AGGACGAACGCUGGCGGCGUGCUUAACACAUGCAAGUCGAGCGACAGUGCCUUUCGGGGUACAUGGAGCGGCGAACGGGUGAGUAACACGUGGGCAACCUGCCCUCAGCUCUGGGACAACUCCGGGAAACCGGGCUAAUACCGGAUACGACCUUGGGAGACAUCUUCUGGGGUGGAAAGUUUUUCGGCUGAGGAUGGGCCCGCGGCCUAUCAGCUUGUUGGUGGGUAAUGGCCUACCAAGGCGACGACGGGUAGCCGGCCUGGAGAGGGCG
RNAcentral lists this ribosomal RNA (271 nucleotides) under uncultured soil bacterium. RNAcentral's name for it is "partial 16S ribosomal RNA". It matches the Rfam family "Bacterial small subunit ribosomal RNA", at positions 26 to 302 of the family's 1533-position model. The record is from RNAcentral.